UAAAUAGAAGUGGCUUUUUGGAGACCGCAGUUCACUUGCAGUAAAUUGAUCAGCUUCAUACUCAUUCUGCAGUUACAUGGACAGCACAGCCAGGAACUAGGUUCUAUUAUUCCUCUAUGGGUUGCGUUUAGCCCUCGGGCACCAUACUGUGCACUCCUGCAAUAUUGGAUGGAGCUUUUACUGGGAAUUUAAUUGUGUACAGAAACCCUACCCUGGACUGACAGACAGUCACACAGAGCAGAACACAACAGGAAAACGUGCAUGAGCCAAGCAUGAAAAGAUGGAGCAUUGGGGCCCAAAGCACCAAUGAUCUCUCUCUGGAAGGACCCCCAUGGAGCUCACUUGAAAUCAAUGGGGGGUCUACAUGCAUCCUUGCUUGAUCAGGAAGUUACAUUGGAUACAUCUUUCUUCUAUGCUUUAAAAAUAUAGUGUUCAGAUCUCUCAAAAAAAACAGCUAUUGGAUCAUGUCCAAAUAUAAACCCAUCACAACAACUAGGGAAAACACAACAGCAAUAGCCUGCACAUGGGCCUUGUACCAGAGAAAUAUUGACGCUGGCAGUGGAAAACAGACCGAGAACAGCAGCGGAGUCAGCCGUGAAGUUCUGUGGAGCAGGAAUGGAGCAAAAGGGAAGAGAAUUAAUAGUUGGCAUCCUAUAAACCACAAAGGUGGAAGGAAGCUAAAGAUGAACCACGUUUAAUGUAUGACCUGCCCUCAAGACAAGCUGCUCACAGGCGGAGCACUUUCAGAUCCCCAGACGAAUAAGAGUUGUGCUCGGCCUUGUGCAUACACACGGGUCAAGGAAGGCCAGUGCUUGGAUGGAGACCUUCAAGAACACCAGGUGCUGCAAGAAAUAACGUUUGUGAAUCAGUCCAGGGCACUCUUCCCUCUUUAGUCAGUACUGAGUAAAUGCCCCAGCAUGGCACUAAGGGCACUCCCUCCCCGGAAGGCACAUUGGGUGAGUCUUGCUUCUCAAUUUGUCUCCAAAGUCUCAGCUUGCAUUUAAACAAAAAAAAAAAAAAAAAAAAGGGUGCAUCUCCAGCUGUUACAAUUGCAAAGAAAACCUUCAACACAUAACCUAAGUGUAACCGAUGCUGCAAUAUCUGCCGGAGUCUGCAGAGAGCCUGAAACAACAGUACUGAAGAGCAAGCUGUUCUGUUCACCUCACUGGGUUCUAAUUCAGAUCCAGUGAUGGUACUUUACAUACCACCACUGUUAACUAUAUCACUGCUCUCCAAAACGUGUAACAAUAGAGAGGACGUAUAUUGUGAAGACCUACACAAGCUGCUUCGGUGAGCUGGUGUUUUGGAUAGGCCUUUUACAGCACCUGGCCAAACUGAAAGGGGAUGCUCGUGGAUUUGUUUCCUGGUGCUGGCUCAGCUGUCCAGAGUUUGGGAAAUCCUGCCCCGGGGUAUGUUUGCAAGAGUGUUAGCACUUGAGAGGGACCAGCAUUUCACACGGGGAAGAUAGCUCACUCUCCCGGCCAUACAGGAAUCUUUCCCUCGGUGCGAAUAAUAGCGGUUUCUGCUAGCAAUGAGUGCUGGAAAUGCCGAGCACUGAAAAGCUAUUGUCGUUACCACGGAGCAGCAGUUAUAAAGAGAGACAGCAACUGAUCUUAAUAGGCUCAGUGUGUGAACUACUUUCUGUUAAUGUAGGCCCUGGUUACGAUGCCAGGGGACAGGCGUCCUUUACAGUGAAUAAGGUUUUAAACCCCUGUAUGCUUAAUGGUUGAACAAUGAUUCACUGAAUACAUUCAUUGGGCACCAGCCAUCCCUGCUGUUCAUGAUUAUACCUUGUUUGAGUGAAUAAUCCGCCCCCUCCCCCCCAACUUACCUUUUCUAGGGACUCUGCAUUGAUCUUUCUGUUGUCUAUUCCUCCUACCCUC
Molecule: long non-coding RNA, 1883 nt
Organism: Caretta caretta (loggerhead turtle)
Lineage: Eukaryota; Metazoa; Chordata; Testudines; Cheloniidae
Source: RefSeq, a predicted model, not a curated record